RNAcentral lists this long non-coding RNA (1109 nucleotides) under Marmota monax (woodchuck). Lineage: Eukaryota; Metazoa; Chordata; Mammalia; Rodentia; Sciuridae. The record is from RNAcentral.
GGGUGAGGGGCACGGUCACGUGCUGAUGCCCCCUCAUUCUAUCUGGUCCCCCAGGAAAUGUCACCGAAUUGAACCAAGGGCUGCAGGAGACUUUGAAAAAACUGGAGCGACCAAGGUCAAAGACCCCCGCCCCGCCCUGGGCCAUGCUUCUCCCACUUCCAACCCCCGCCCCCACCCGCUUAGCUCCAAAAAUCCACAUUGCCUCUGAGGUGGGGGGUGGGGGUAAGGUUCAAGUCCUCGAAAAGGAAGACUCUGUCCGUAGGGUCCAAGAGCCCUAGGUGGCUACUGCCCAGUGACUGGGGUGGGGACGAGGCUCGGUGGGGAGGGUGGCCAGGGCUGUCAUGCAAGAUGAUGGCCCAGCGGCUGCCUGAGUCCCCCAUCGUCACCUAGAACGGAAAACACCCAGACCAUCCCGGCCAGCUCCCAGGCCACCAUCGUUCUGCAGCUCUCCAUGUCGCUCCUGCUCCUGAGCCUCGCCAUUCCGCUGCUCUGAGGCCCCAGGAGGUCAGAGGUCAGGAUCCUGGGCGGCCCUGGGGAGGAGGAAGCUGGGGGCGCUGGGAGGGGGGCAGGGACUCCAAGGGAUUGGGGGGGGGGCGGGCCUCACCGCUUGGAGGAGAGAGGAGCUGCGGGGGGGGAGAGGGAGGAGACUCAGGGGCGAGGGGAGGGGCCUGAGGGGCCUGAGGGGCGGGGCUUAGGGAGGGGCGGGGUUUAGGGAGGCUGCGGGCUCUGUUCUGUCUGCCUUCAGUCUAUCCUGAGUCUCUCUUAUCAUGUCUCCUAGGCCCCAAUCUGAACUGGUCCGGCUGCACCUGUGCUUUUCCCAGCGACUGUCCCUUGACCCAGCUGGUUACUGAGGGGAGAGGGGACGAGUAAAAGUGAAGGGGCCAUGGGGCAGCUGUGGAGGGGCCGUGGGGCAAUGGGGGAGGGGAGGCCAAGCAGCUGGGUGGGAGCGGGGCUGCUUCCUUGGAAGCCACCCUACUUGGGCCGGGGAUGGUGGAAGGGUGGGGACGCUGCCUCUUGCUGUAUUAGGGGUGGGUGUUGCUUUCCUCUGGGGGUCUUUGAGCUCCAAAGAAUAAACAUCUCUUUUGGGAGGAAAGACCUCUUACUCUCAA